This 433-nucleotide ribosomal RNA is filed under the name uncultured bacterium. Its description in RNAcentral is "partial 16S ribosomal RNA". It matches the Rfam family "Bacterial small subunit ribosomal RNA", at positions 29 to 506 of the family's 1533-position model. The record is from RNAcentral.
AGCGAACGCUGGCGGCAGGCCUAACACAUGCAAGUCGAACGAACCUUUCGGGGUUAGUGGCGGACGGGUGAGUAACACGUGGGAACGUGCCUUUAGGUUCGGAAUAACUCAGGGAAACUUGUGCUAAUACCGAAUGUGCCCUUCGGGGGAAAGAUUUAUCGCCUUUAGAGCGGCCCGCGUCUGAUUAGCUAGUUGGUUGAGGUAAGGGCUACCCAGGCGACGGGUCAUUAGUGGGCCUGAGGGGAGGAUCAGCCACAUUGGGACUGGGACACGGCCCAAACUCCAACGGGAGGCAGCAGUGGGGAAUCUUGCGCAAUGGGCGAAAGCCUGACGCAGCCAUGCGGCGGGAAUGAUGAAGGUCUUAGGAUUGUAAAAUUCUUUCCCCGGGAACGAUAAUGACGGAACCCGGGGAAGAAGCCCCGGCUAACUCCGU